RNAcentral lists this ribosomal RNA (253 nucleotides) under uncultured Thermogymnomonas sp. RNAcentral's name for it is "partial 16S ribosomal RNA". It matches the Rfam family "Archaeal small subunit ribosomal RNA", at positions 474 to 727 of the family's 1478-position model. The record is from RNAcentral. Lineage: Archaea; Methanobacteriati; Thermoplasmatota; Thermoplasmata; Thermoplasmatales.
UACCCGCGGCCCGAGUGGUGCUUGAUAUUAUUGAGCCUAAAACGCCCGUAGCCGGUCUUGUAAAUCCAUGGGUAAAUCGAACAGCUCAACUGUUCGAAGUCCGCGGAGACUGCAAGACUUGGGACUGGGAGAGGUCAGAGGUACUUCUGGGGUAGGGGUAAAAUCCUGUAAUCCUGGAAGGACCACCAGUGGCGAAGGCGUCUGACUAGAACAGAUCCGACGGUGAGGGACGAAGCCCUGGGGCGCAAACGGG